This is a small nuclear RNA of Callithrix jacchus (white-tufted-ear marmoset), 101 nucleotides long. The record is from Ensembl. NCBI's taxonomy places the organism in Eukaryota, Metazoa, Chordata, Mammalia, Primates, Cebidae.
GAGCUCACUUUGGCAGCACACAUACUAAAACUGGAACAAUACAGAGAAGAUUAGCAUCACCCCUUUUAAAAAAUUUUUUCUAAGAAUUAGAAAACAGAUCC